This 581-nucleotide ribosomal RNA is filed under the name Amietia angolensis (Angola river frog). RNAcentral describes it as "partial 16S ribosomal RNA". It matches the Rfam family "Bacterial large subunit ribosomal RNA", at positions 1800 to 2608 of the family's 2925-position model. The record is from RNAcentral. Lineage: Eukaryota; Metazoa; Chordata; Amphibia; Anura; Pyxicephalidae.
CUGUUUAUCAAAAACAUCGCCUCUUGAUCUUAAAUAAGAGGUCCAGCCUGCCCGGUGACAAAGUUUAACGGCCGCGGUACCCUAACCGUGCGAAGGUAGCAUAAUCACUUGUUCUUUAAAUAGGGACUAGUAUCAACGGCAUCACGAGGGUUACACGUCUCCUUUCUCCAAUCAGUGAAACUGAUCUCCCCGUGAAGAAGCGGGGAUAAAACUAUUAGACGAGAAGACCCCAUGGAGCUUUAAGCUCAACUACAACCCUUACAAAAAUAAUCCCUCAUAAUACACAGACCCUGUUUGUUAGCUUUAGGUUGGGGUGACCGCGGAGUAUAAUUUAACCUCCACGACGAAAAGGCAUAAAACCCUUAUCCAAGAGCCACUGCUCUAAGAAUUACUAAAUUAACGUAUAAUGAUCCAAUCUUUGAUCAACGGACCAAGUUACCCUGGGGAUAACAGCGCAAUCCAUUUUUAGAGCCCCUAUCGACAAAUGGGUUUACGACCUCGAUGUUGGAUCAGGGUAUCCUAGUGGUGCAGCCGCUACUAAAGGUUCGUUUGUUCAACGAUUAAAACCCUACGUGAUCUGA